UAGGGAAUCUUCCACAAUGGACGCAAGUCUGAUGGAGCAACGCCGCGUGAGUGAAGAAGGUUUACGGACCGUAAAGCUCUGUUGUUGGUGAAGAAGGAUAGAGGUAGUAACUGGCCUUUAUUUGACGGUAAUCAACCAGAAAGUCACGGCUAACUACGUGCCAGCAGCCGCGGUAAUACGUAGGUGGCAAGCGUUGUCCGGAUUUAUUGGGCGUAAAGCGAGCGCAGGCGGAAGAAUAAGUCUGAUGUGAAAGCCCUCGGCUUAACCGAGGAAUUGCAUCGGAAACUGUUUUUCUUGAGUGCAGAAGAGGAGAGUAGAACUCCAUGUGUAGCGGUGGAAUGCGUAGAUAUAUGGAAGAAUACCAGUGGCGAAGGCGGCUCUCUGGUCUGCAACUGACGCUGAGGCUCGAAAGCAUGGGUAGCGAACAGGAUUAGAUACCCUGGUAGUCCAUGCCGUAAACGAUGAGUGCUAAGUGUUGGGAGGCUUCCGCCUCUCAGUGCUGCAGCUAACGCAUUAAGCACUCCGCCUGGGGGAGUACGACCGCAAGGUUGAAAC
Molecule: ribosomal RNA, 555 nt
Filed under: uncultured bacterium
Lineage: Bacteria
Description: partial 16S ribosomal RNA
Rfam family: Bacterial small subunit ribosomal RNA
Source: RNAcentral